Long non-coding RNA from Thalassophryne amazonica, 1503 nucleotides. RefSeq lists it as uncharacterized. NCBI's taxonomy places the organism in Eukaryota, Metazoa, Chordata, Actinopteri, Batrachoidiformes, Batrachoididae. The record is from RefSeq and is a predicted model, not a curated record. The transcript is spliced from 3 exons.
UCGGCCGCUUGUACUCGUGAUCUCGUUCUUUCGGUCAUGAGCCAAAUCUCAUGACCAUAGGUGAGGAUCGGAACGUAGAUUGAUUGGUAAAUCGAGAGCUUGAACUCAUAAACAUUCGUUAUUUGUAUGCUUUGGUACAUGUGUUUGCUACAUUCUGAUAACAUUUCAAGAAAUUGUACUAAGCUUCCCAAAAUUCCUCCUUAAAAUGUGAGGAGUUGAUGUCAGAAUGUGGACACCAACUCAUGAAAAUGCAGUGUCUAGAUUUGUUAAUCAAGGGCCAUAACUUUUCCAAAAUUUGUCAAUCUUGUACAAUAUUACAAUAUGACUAUUAACAAGGAUUUGUACCAAGUUACAAUAAAUUCCUAAUAAAAAUGUGAGAGGAGUUGAUUUCAGAGUGCUUGCACCCUUUUUGGGAUGGACGGACGGAAAACGUCAUGACAUAAUCCUCCUUCGGGCCUUCAGCCGGGGGGGAUAAAAAUGUAUUGUGCAAAAUAUCCAAGCAUCUUGCCUCAAUAGUUUACAUAAUUGCUUUGCCAUUUUAUUGUUAAUUUUCCCUUAAAUAUGUUUUUGUAUGUAUUUCAAUAUAAUAAUGUGUAUAAGGGAUAGAGACCUGUGAGACAUACAAAAACAAAUAUUGGCGCUUCAGUCAUUUUUAGGGAUCAGCAUAUUCAUUCUUUUUUUGUUUUCUUGAACUGAGAGAUGUUAAAAUACAAGUCAUAAAUUAAAUAAAUAAACUCGGCGUCGCAGAUUGGUCUGCCCUGCCUCCACUGCGCGUGCGUCAUUUCUAAGUUUAGCAGCUCGUCUAAGAGUGUCUUCACCCUAAACAAUCAAAGGGAAUAUUGUCAUUACUAACCAUCAGAUGACAAGGUAAAAACACUUAAAUCAUUCUAAAGUCAGUUUUAAGUAGAAACAAGGUCAUUUUAACCAAAAAUGAGGCAAUACUCUGACACUUUGAAAUGACCCACGUGCAGUGAGCGCAUCACCUAGGAGCUUGUGUAGCUGCAGCACUCUGACCGCUUACUCCAUCUUUUAUGAUGAAAUAAUGCUGAAUUUAUGUGGAAAUGAUUGUUGUACAAAAGCUUCAGAUAUCUGUCGCUGAGAUAGAUGAUGACUGGAGUGCAGUUUUAAGCAGAAACGAGGUGUUAAUCAGUGAACCUUGGCUAAUGACGCACGUGCAGUGAAGGCAGGGCAGACUGAUUUUUAGGGAGGACCAUUCGGUCGGCGACACCGGUAAUCAAGUGAUUUCAUAAACUAAAAAGUGACAAUCAUCACAUUAUCAAUUCUCUAAUGGAAGCCCUUGACAUGAAGAAAACACUCUGAGACCGUUUCUAUAUAUUUUUAUGAAUACUUAAAAGAAUUUCUAAAAUUUUAAAAACAAGAACAAAGACAAAAGGUUGGUGAUGUUUCCAUAGUGAAGUUCACAGAGUACACUACAUCUCUUCGAGUGAGGUGGAAUAUUAAAUCUCAAACACUUAAUUUUGCUUUGACGAAAUGUGUCUCAGU